RNAcentral lists this ribosomal RNA (119 nucleotides) under Zerene cesonia (dogface butterfly). The record is from RNAcentral. Lineage: Eukaryota; Metazoa; Arthropoda; Insecta; Lepidoptera; Pieridae.
GCCAACGUCCAUACCACGUUGAAUACACCGGUUCUCGUCCGAUCGCCGAAGUUAAGCAACGUCGGGCGCGGUCAGAACUUGGAUGGGUGACCGCCUGGGAACACCGCGUGAUGUUGGCU